GGCCCUGUCGUCUAGGGGCCUAGGACACGGCACUUUCACUGCCGCGACACGGGUUCGAAUCCCGUCAGGGUCA
This 73-nucleotide transfer RNA is filed under the name Gemmataceae bacterium. RNAcentral's name for it is "tRNA-Glu". It matches the Rfam family "tRNA". From Rfam's summary of the family: Transfer RNA (tRNA) molecules are approximately 80 nucleotides in length. Their secondary structure includes four short double-helical elements and three loops (D, anti-codon, and T loops). The record is from RNAcentral. Lineage: Bacteria; Pseudomonadati; Planctomycetota; Planctomycetia; Gemmatales; Gemmataceae.